RNAcentral lists this transfer RNA (74 nucleotides) under Streptomyces fructofermentans. RNAcentral describes it as "tRNA-Ala". Lineage: Bacteria; Bacillati; Actinomycetota; Actinomycetes; Kitasatosporales; Streptomycetaceae. The record is from RNAcentral.
UCCCUGGUGGUGAGGACGAGGCCGCCGCUCGCGGUGGCGGCCGGCGUCCCGGGUACGAACUCCAGCCAGGCGUC